Molecule: ribosomal RNA, 468 nt
Filed under: uncultured bacterium
Lineage: Bacteria
Description: partial 16S ribosomal RNA
Rfam family: Bacterial small subunit ribosomal RNA
Source: RNAcentral
GACGAACGCUGGCGGUGUGCUUAACACAUGCAAGUCGAACGGCAACGCCCUACUUUCUUGCUCUUCCCGAGUGCCGAUCGCGUGCGUAACACGUGUGCAUCCUGCCCUUCUCUUUCGUAUAACUUCACGAAACUGAGCCUACUCCCGUAUCGCAUCCGCCCCAGCGUGGAGAGCGUGGGAACGUUGCGGCUGUUGGGGAUGGACUCGCGGCUGAUCAGCUUGUUGGUGGGGUAGUGGCUGACCCACGGUUUGGCGGGUAGGCGGCAUGUGAGGGGGACCGGCGACAAUGGGACUGAGAGACGGCCCAGAGUCCAACGGGAGGCAGCAGUGGGGAAUAUGGCACAAUGGGCGGAAGCCUGAGGCAGCAACGCCGGGGGUGGGAUGACGGCCUGCGGGGUGUAAACCGCUGUCGGCUGAGACGAAGCGGGAGUGACGGUACCGGGAGAAGAAGCACCGGCUAACUACGUG